RNAcentral lists this long non-coding RNA (674 nucleotides) under Zostera marina. Its description in RNAcentral is "long non-coding RNA (ZMAR_LNC001172)". Lineage: Eukaryota; Viridiplantae; Streptophyta; Magnoliopsida; Alismatales; Zosteraceae. The record is from RNAcentral.
UCAUAAAUUCUUAAUCUAUCAGGUACCAUUGUACAAAUUCCCAUAUUAUUAAGGGUGGGUUUCAUUUCUAACCACCUAAUCUGGUUAGGGAUUGUUAGACCCGUUGGUAUAACCCUAACCUGUUGUCUAAAAUACGGAAAGAUCGCCGGCACCGCCAUCUCCGUUGCAGUAUCGUCCAUAGUCUCCGUUUUUUACCAUGGAAGCAUUCAAACAACUCCAAGCCCGCUUCAUUAUCCUCGCCCAUUGUCAUCUCCCGCAUUCCGCUCUCCGUCCCAUCAUCUCCUUCUCAUCACUCCAUCCAACCGACGACCUCCACUACGCAAUCCUUAUCCUCCUCUCUGUCCCCAUCCCACUCAUUUCCACGUGUGAUCUUCGUUUCAGACUUUCAGGCCACUGGCUUAACAGCUCUUUCAGUCGGUGAUCUACCAAUUGCAGAUCUUUUGGAACUUCAUAAAAUGAGAUUCUGAUUUCUGAAAGAAGGGAUUAGAAGAAGAUGAAGAAGAAGAAACCCAUACCUGUGUUGUGCAAUCUUUGAUCAGAGAGACAAGAUCGAGGAAAGAUUCGGAGAUCGUUGGGAGGACGAUGGGUUUUGGGGGUUUUUUGUCCAAAAAAAUCUACCCGUUUUUAUUUUAUUUUAUGACAAUGACAUUUUCGAAAAUUUGAUUUAAUUAUAA